RNAcentral lists this ribosomal RNA (506 nucleotides) under uncultured bacterium. RNAcentral's name for it is "bacterial SSU rRNA". It matches the Rfam family "Bacterial small subunit ribosomal RNA", at positions 28 to 532 of the family's 1533-position model. The record is from RNAcentral.
GACGAACGCUGGCGGCGUGCCUAAUACAUGCAAGUCGAGCGGGGAUUAUGCUUGAUCGCUUCGGUGAGACGGCAUAUAUCCUAGCGGCGGACGGGUGAGUAACGCGUGGGUAAUCUACCUCGUAGUUCGGGAUAACAGGCCGAAAGGCUUGCUAAUACCGGAUGAGUUCAUGCUUAUGCAUAUAGGCAUGAAGAAAGGGCUAGCCCGCUAUGAGAUGAGCCCGCGUCCCAUUAGCUUGUUGGUGGGGUAAUGGCCUACCAAGGCAACGAUGGGUAGCCGGCCUGAGAGGGUGUACGGCCACACUGGGACUGAGACACGGCCCAGACUCCUACGGGGGGCAGCAGUAGGGAAUUUUCGGCAAUGGGCGAAAGCCUGACCGAGCGACGCCGCGUGAGGGACGAAGGCCUUCGGUUGGUAAACCUCUGUCUGGGGGAUGAGAACGGACGGUACCCCGGACGGAAGCCCGGCUAACUACGUGCCAGCAGCCGCGGUAAAAUAGCGUACCU